Molecule: microRNA precursor, 207 nt
Filed under: Oryza barthii
Lineage: Eukaryota; Viridiplantae; Streptophyta; Magnoliopsida; Poales; Poaceae
Description: MIR812 microRNA precursor family
Rfam family: MIR812 microRNA precursor family
Source: Rfam by way of RNAcentral
GUUAAGUGCAAUCAUAAGUUUUCAUACUAACUUUAAUUGUUUGUCUUAUUUAAAAAUUUUUUAUAAUUAAUAUUUUUAUUGUUAUAAGAUGAUAAAAUAUAAAUAAUACUUCUUUAUAUAUGACUUAUGUUUUUAAAAAAAAAUUUAAAAAAUUUAUAUAAGAAGAACGGUUAAAAUUAUACUUAAAAAAUUAUGGUUGCGCUUAAA